RNAcentral lists this ribosomal RNA (253 nucleotides) under uncultured bacterium. RNAcentral's name for it is "partial 16S ribosomal RNA". It matches the Rfam family "Bacterial small subunit ribosomal RNA", at positions 524 to 776 of the family's 1533-position model. The record is from RNAcentral.
UACGUAGGCAGCGAGCGUUGUUCGGAGUUACUGGGCGUAAAGGGCUCGUAGGCGGCCAACUAAGUCGGACGUGAAAUCCCUCGGCUUAACCGGGGAACUGCGUCCGAUACUGGAUGGCUUGAGUUCGGGAGAGGGAUGCGGAAUUCCAGGUGUAGCGGUGAAAUGCGUAGAUAUCUGGAGGAACACCGGUGGCGAAGGCGGCAUCCUGGACCGACACUGACGCUGAGGAGCGAAAGCCAGGGGAGCAAACGGG